RNAcentral lists this long non-coding RNA (3002 nucleotides) under Homo sapiens (human). Its description in RNAcentral is "non-protein coding lnc-CYB5R2-1:6". The record is from RNAcentral. Lineage: Eukaryota; Metazoa; Chordata; Mammalia; Primates; Hominidae.
AGGACAAAUACAGAAUGUGAGGUGCAGGGAGCUGAAGGCCCCUGGGAAGUGACCAACUCAGCAUUUCGCUGGAGGCUAUAGGAUCAAACAGCAAACUGUUUAUCAUGAAUGCAGGAUGUGGGCAAACUCACACUGCCCUGCCACCAAAAGUCCCCCUAGGUCCAUGCAGGUUACAUAGUGGUGCCCCAAACAGUGACACAAUUGGGUUCUCAACAAGUGGUGACUCAGAACAGGGACGCCAAGGAUGCCAACAAGUGGCGUCUGAACACGGGACUUCGACGAUGUGAACAAAAAAGAUCUGCUGGAGCAGAGAAGCUGAAAUUGACAAGGCAAACGGGGACCCCAGGAUGAGUCUGCCGGCAGCAUAUAUAAGGCAGGGACUAUAGGAAAUGAAGGUGAACUCGUGGAGAUUUUGGAGAGAAUUUAAUGAAGAGGCUGUUUACCAAGGAUCUCUCUCUGUCUCCGAGGCUGGAGUGCAAUGUUGCAAUCAGGGCUCACUGCAGCCUCGACCUCCUGGGCUCAACUGAUCUUCGUACCACAGCCUCAUGAGUAACUGGGACUACAGACGACCAUGGGCAUUUUUUCUAUGCAACUACAGAUAGUAUCUCAUGAUAUGAAUGGUCCUGGAUUUACUUACACAUCCUCCUUUGGAUGAGCAAAAAGUAAAUUUUUCACAGUGAUAGACAUUUGUAGUGCUUUUUAAAGGCACUGGUUCUGGUGGACACUGAGAGACAAUUUUUAUUUGCUGCACGUGGAAAGGACAACAACAUACCUGGACAGAAAUGCCUCGAGGAUGUACUGAAGGCCCCUCUCACUUUUCACAGCCAUAACUGUAAGUUUCCUGGGGCCUCUCCAGAAGACAAGCAGAUGCCGCUAUGCUUCCUGAACAGCCCACAGAACUCUCCCAGUUGUGGGCAGAGUCUGGUUAAGGUACAGCCUUGGAAUUAUUUUAACAUUUUCAGUCGCAUUCUUGGAGGAAGCCAAGUGGAGAAGGGUUCCUAUCCCUGGCAGGUAUCUCUGAAACAAAGGCAGAAGCAUAUUUGUGGAGGAAGCAUCGUCUCACCACAGUGGGUGAUCACGGCGGCUCACUGCAUUGCAAACAGAAACAUUGUGUCUACUUUGAAUGUUACUGCUGGAGAGUAUGACUUAAGCCAGACAGACCCAGGAGAGCAAACUCUCACUAUUGAAACUGUCAUCAUACAUCCACAUUUCUCCACCAAGAAACCAAUGGACUAUGAUAUUGCCCUUUUGAAGAUGGCUGGAGCCUUCCAAUUUGGCCACUUUGUGGGGCCCAUAUGUCUUCCAGAGCUGCGGGAGCAAUUUGAGGCUGGUUUUAUUUGUACAACUGCAGGCUGGGGCCGCUUAACUGAAGGUGGCGUCCUCUCACAAGUCUUGCAGGAAGUGAAUCUGCCUAUUUUGACCUGGGAAGAGUGUGUGGCAGCUCUGUUAACACUAAAGAGGCCCAUCAGUGGGAAGACCUUUCUUUGCACAGGUUUUCCUGAUGGAGGGAGAGACGCAUGUCAGGGAGAUUCAGGAGGUUCACUCAUGUGCCGGAAUAAGAAAGGGGCCUGGACUCUGGCUGGUGUGACUUCCUGGGGUUUGGGCUGUGGUCGAGGCUGGAGAAACAAUGUGAGGAAAAGUGAUCAAGGAUCCCCUGGGAUCUUCACAGACAUUAGUAAAGUGCUUCCCUGGAUCCACGAACACAUCCAAACUGGUAACUAAGCCAUCACACAAGGUUAAGAAGCUGCCAUUCUGCUAGGGCCAGAGACAGCAUCAGCAGAGUCCUGGCAAAUCAGAGCACCUGAACCAACAGGCUCUACCUCUGUUCUCAGUGUAGCACACAAGGAUUGUGAGGUUUACCAAGUCUAAAUAAAACAAGAGUAAAAUAUGGUAUGUGGAGCAGCAUGCAGAUAUUCAAUGAAAAAUGAAUCCAUCCAUCCUAGACCUUCUCAAACUGGCCUUUAAUUGAAACUAUCUCAGUUGAUGAUAUGCUUUCACCACUUACUUCUCUGGAUUCAGAGUCCAGAGUGCUCACCAUUACACGAUGGCACCACUUACUUCUCAAAAAAAUCCAGCAAACUAUAACAGAUCAGUAGUUAUCAACCAGGGGCAAUUUUGUCCCCAGGGACAGUAUCAGAAGACAUUUUUAAUUGUCACAACUGGCAGAGCUGAGGAGUGGCUCUGGUGUCCAGUGGGUAGGGGACUUGGAUGCUGCUAAACAUCCUACAAAGUACAGGACAGCCUCCCACAACAAAGAAUGAUCCCACCCAAAAGGUUAAUAGUACCAACAAUGAGAAUCCCUGGCGUAGAUCCAGGUAUAGUAAGUCUGCAAAAGCCAGGAUCUACAUGCAGCCAGGCCUCCGUAUCUGCAAGUUCCAUGUCAGCAGAUUCAACCAACUGUGGAUCAAAAAUAUUUGGAGAAAAAUAAAAACAAUAAAAAUAACAGUACAAUAAUAAUGACAAUACAAAUUUUUAAAAAUACAGUGUAACAACUAUUUACAUAGCAUUUACUUUGUCUUAGGUAUCGCAAGCACUCCAGAGACAAUUUAGAGUGCUACAUAGGGGAAGACAUGCCUAGGUUACAUGCAAAUACUAUGCCGUUUAAUCUAAGGAUUUGAGCAUCCUCGGAUUUUUGGUAUCUGCAAGGGUUCUGAAACCAAUCCCCCACAGAUAUUGAGGGAUGAGUGUACACCCUUGUGAUAAACUGACUAGAGAGCUCAUUGCAACUUCUUUGCCUCCUCCAAAUCCAACUUAAUUGUUUUCUUAUCUGGUGGCUUCCAACCUCAAAAAGGCUUUUAUCCUUUUCUAAACAAGUUAAUUUAAAUUAAGUUUAGUAGGAAUUUGAGUUUGUUUUCAAGUGUAUGGUACAGUGGCAGGUAUCUGAGCCCUCAGUUAAAGUUUGACCUAUUUAACCCAGCAACUCUUUUAUAGUUAUGGACAAACUAUUUCCAUCUCUAGCCUCUGUUCUUAUGUAAAAUGACCCCUUCCUCUGUGAAACCUCC